Molecule: ribosomal RNA, 433 nt
Filed under: uncultured bacterium
Lineage: Bacteria
Description: partial 16S ribosomal RNA
Rfam family: Bacterial small subunit ribosomal RNA
Source: RNAcentral
CCCUCCCUCUGUCGGCAUGCCUAACACAUGCAAGUCGAACGAGACCUUCGGGUCUAGUGGCGCACGGGUGCGUAGCGCGUGGGAACCUGCCCUUAGGUUCGGAAUAACUCCCCGAAAGGGGUGCUAAUACCGGAUAAUGUCUUCGGACCAAAGAUUUAUCGCCUUUGGAUGGGCCCGCGUUGGAUUAGCUAGUUGGUAGGGUAAAAGCCUACCAAGGCGACGAUCCAUAGCUGGUCUGAGAGGAUGAUCAGCCACACUGGGACUGAGACACGGCCCAGACUCCUACGGGAGGCAGCAGUGGGGAAUAUUGGACAAUGGGCGAAAGCCUGAUCCAGCAAUGCCGCGUGAGUGAUGAAGGCCUUAGGGUUGUAAAGCUCUUUUACCCGGGAUGAUAAUGACAGUACCGGGAGAAUAAGCUCCAGCUAACUCCGUG